GAUGAACGCUGGCGGCGUGCCUAAUACAUGCAAGUCGAGCGAACGGACGAGAAGCUUGCUUCUCUGAUGUUAGCGGCGGACGGGUGAGUAACACGUGGAUAACCUACCUAUAAGACUGGGAUAACUUCGGGAAACCGGAGCUAAUACCGGAUAAUAUUUUGAACCGCAUGGUUCAAAAGUGAAAGACGGUCUUGCUGUCACUUAUAGAUGGAUCCGCGCUGCAUUAGCUAGUUGGUAAGGUAACGGCUUACCAAGGCAACGAUGCAUAGCCGACCUGAGAGGGUGAUCGGCCACACUGGAACGGAGACGCGGUCCAGACUCCUACGGGAGGCAGCAGUAGGGAAUCUUCCGCAGUGGGCGAAAGCCUGACGGAGCAACGCCGCGUGAGUGAUGAAGGUCUUCGGAUCGUAAAACUCUGUUAUUAGGGAAGAACAUAUGUGUAAGUAACUGUGCACAUCUUGACGGUACCUAAUCAGAAAGCCACGGCUAACUACGUG
This 497-nucleotide ribosomal RNA is filed under the name uncultured bacterium. Its description in RNAcentral is "partial 16S ribosomal RNA". It matches the Rfam family "Bacterial small subunit ribosomal RNA", at positions 28 to 507 of the family's 1533-position model. The record is from RNAcentral.